This 108-nucleotide small RNA is filed under the name Catonella morbi ATCC 51271. RNAcentral describes it as "Clostridiales-1 RNA". Lineage: Bacteria; Bacillati; Bacillota; Clostridia; Lachnospirales; Lachnospiraceae. The record is from Rfam by way of RNAcentral.
CGAUACAAGGCUAAAAGUAUGAGUAAUUAGCUAUUUUCAAAAAAAUGAGCGAAUUACGAAUAUUUUUGCAGGGAUUGCAUGAAGCGUAGCUGUAGCAAUCCUGUAUCA